Teleopsis dalmanni is the source of this 1613-nucleotide long non-coding RNA. RefSeq lists it as uncharacterized. Lineage: Eukaryota; Metazoa; Arthropoda; Insecta; Diptera; Diopsidae. The record is from RefSeq and is a predicted model, not a curated record. The transcript is spliced from 4 exons.
UAUUUGCCAAAACAUAACACUUGACAGAUUGAAACAGUAAUGCUAAUAUCUCGCUUAGCGAAUAUAGGCCAGCAUAUAUUUUUUGCCGUACUUGCGAGCAACCGAAAAGGCCUUAUAUUUCAAUAUUUCUAACUUAAUUGGGCAUUUUAGCGCUUGAUAACUUAAUUCAAAUCAAAAAAAAAAUUAACUAUAAUUCAUAAUUGCAGCGUUUUCCAACACUUUUGAGAUGCAUACUUCGCUGAAAAAUCAACAAACGCAAAAUGACAGCAUUUCGCACUACGCAAUUUCUCGAAAACAAAAUUUGGGACGCAUUAGAGAAGAUUUGCCGAUUUUAAAGCAGAAUUUUUAAUAGUUUGGUAAUUAGAUGAAUCUGCAAAAUAUUUCUUUAAGAAAUACAUUUAAAAAUGUUAUGGAAAACCUAUAUUUGAAAUAUACCGAAAAAGAUAAGUGUAAGCCUUGUGAGAUGUGUGAAUUGGUUAGUUAUUUAAAAUGCCUCUGUAACCACAAUUCAUAUUUGUGUACUUGAUUGAUUCUAAAUGAAAUAAUCGGAUUUUGUUCUGGUUUUCCCUUCGAUGCCUUUAUGGCAUCAUCAAGGAUUUUAUAAGUAUGACUCUUUGGUAAGAUACUUUUUCUGCAACUCGUCUAUGAAGAUGAUUGAGAAGAAAUGCUUUAAGCUGCGUAACAAUUGAUGGGAAACUUUGGAUUUGGCUUCUGCAAGAACUCAACCAGCAUAUUUAAAGCAUUUUUAUUGAUUUUAACAACAAUAUCUUUGUAAACUAUAUCGCUAUAUGAAAGGAUGAUAGCUUAAUCUUUGCGGAGUCUAUGUUUGGGAGCUGCUCAUUUGUAAAAAUAGAGUACCUUUAGUAAUUCUGGUUAGACUUUUGGGUUUGCAAUGUUCAAACGAAGAAGGGUUCUUUAGAUAGAACGCCGCUGGUUGCAAUAUCAUCAUAUCUUAUACUCGUUAUUCUAAUAAAUUUUUGAUUAUGGAAUAAGAUGGGCAACUUGUAUGUAUACGGGUGUGAAUUUAUUAAAAGUACUUAUCAUUAACGUUAAAGUUCUGCUCAAAAAUCCAAAGUAAAAGGUUACUACUCAUUUAUGGAUUUUUUUGCUCUGCGAGACGUAAUAUAAGAAUUUCAAUUAGUCGUUAUGGCCUAUACAUUAUCUUGAUGUGAAGUCCAAAAUGCUUCUUGUAAAAUAAAAUAAUUAACUACUGAGCAAGUAUUUCAACAUUACUUGUCAUAAGAUGGCAGAAGACAUUUCAAUGCCAACACAAUCAGUACAACCGUCCAUUCAUGUUUUAUACGUCAAUCACGGCCUUUCAUACCAAAACAAUGUUUUCUUCGAAAAUGCGUUUGAAUUACAGCAAAGUAGGGGAUAAGAUUAGGCAUGUAUUCAUAUUGCAAUUCAUGCAUGCUACCAGCUCUACAGUUCCAUUUGGGUUACAACAUCAACAACAAGUGCUGGGAGGAGAACUUUAAAGGAUUUUCUUUAGUAUGUUGAUAUCUUUAAAGAAUUUUGAAAUGUUUGCUUGUUUUUCGUUGUAUGCUUUAACACACCAAAUUAAGAUUAUUAUAUUGUAUGAAAUCAUUCAUGUCAUUAUAUUGAAAUAAACU